AUUGAACGCUGGCGGCAGGCCUAACACAUGCCAGUCGAGCGGAUGAAGGGAGCUUGCUCCUGGAUUCAGCGGCGGACGGGUGAGUAAUGCCUAGGAAUCUGCCUGGUAGUGGGGGAUAACGUCCGGAAACGGGCGCUAAUACCGCAUACGUCCUGAGGGAGAAAGUGGGGGAUCUUCGGACCUCACGCUAUCAGAUGAGCCUAGGUCGGAUUAGCUAGUUGGUGGGGUAAAGGCCUACCAAGGCGACGAUCCGUAACUGGUCUGAGAGGAUGAUCAGUCACACUGGAACUGAGACACGGUCCAGACUCCUACGGGAGGCAGCAGUGGGGAAUAUUGGACAAUGGGCGAAAGCCUGAUCCAGCCAUGCCGCGUGUGUGAAGAAGGUCUUCGGAUUGUAAAGUACUUUAAGUUGGGAGGAAGGGCAGUAAGUUAAUACCUUGCUGUUUUGACGUUACCAACAGAAUAAGCACCGGCUAACUUCGUG
Molecule: ribosomal RNA, 484 nt
Filed under: uncultured bacterium
Lineage: Bacteria
Description: partial 16S ribosomal RNA
Rfam family: Bacterial small subunit ribosomal RNA
Source: RNAcentral